UGUUGAGCUAGUUGUAUAUAAAAUGCCGCUGAAAAGCAGCAUAUGUUUUUGAUAACUGUAAAACACAUUAUAUUUAAGAACUAGGAAGGAAUGUAAAUGCUGAAUAUUAAUGUGCUUGUCUCAUUUAAAUUAAAAGUUGCUUUUGAUAUAAUUUUUCUCAAAACAAGAUAACCCUUUUCGGGAUCUCUUCUGCAGAAGUCGCAAAGGAGAAGACAUCACAAAACUAUUAAAACCCUCCAAGAGCCUCCCAAAGAUGGACCAGAUACUCCCACCUCCGCAUCCUCAGAGGAAACUGGAUGCAGGUAUGCACUGAACACCUUGGAAGAUAUCAUCCAUAGAUAAAAGGGAACCACUAUCCUAC
RNAcentral lists this long non-coding RNA (361 nucleotides) under Fukomys damarensis (Damara mole-rat). RNAcentral's name for it is "lncRNA (ENSFDAG00000025497.1)". Lineage: Eukaryota; Metazoa; Chordata; Mammalia; Rodentia; Bathyergidae. The record is from RNAcentral.